GGGCUCAUAGCUCAGCGGUAGAGUGCCUCCCUUGCAAGGAGGAUGCCCUGGGUUCGAAUCCCAGUGAGUCCA
This is a non-coding RNA of Halorubrum sp. AJ67, 72 nucleotides long. Lineage: Archaea; Methanobacteriati; Methanobacteriota; Halobacteria; Halobacteriales; Haloferacaceae. The record is from Rfam.